Molecule: small nucleolar RNA, 108 nt
Organism: Zingiber officinale
Lineage: Eukaryota; Viridiplantae; Streptophyta; Magnoliopsida; Zingiberales; Zingiberaceae
Source: RefSeq, a predicted model, not a curated record
AGAUCAUGGUAGGGGCAUUACCUCAAUAGUCCUUGGAAUCUAUCCCAAAUUUCAAAUAGAGAUUCACCAUAUUUUUGAAUGAAGUUGGUGAUAAAAUUUCUCAAGUGU